CUCACUCCAAAGGCGUCAAAAACCGAAGCAUGGUCAAGCGCCCCUAGCGUCACUUUUGUGACGCCAAAUGUGCCUCUCGGCGUCGACUAUCGAAGCACUACGACCUUCAUUGCUUUCAGUGGGAAACUUUUGGCGUCAGAAUUCGACACGAGGACAUGAGAUGUUUAUCGCUAUGAAAUCACGUUCAAGAAGUCUCAUUCAGCACACAUCGCGCGAUACUUGCUAUCAUUUCCACAGUUUGGCUGAAAAGACGUAAAGGCAGUCAGCCCAGUGGUGUUUCUGGAGAGGGAUUCCUUCAGAAAUGGAGAAGACAGAAAGCUGCGGAGGCAGAUAUUUGCAGCAGUCUAAAAUAUCAAGCUCAACAGCUAUUUGAAGAGCCAACCCUCACAAACCUUCCUAAAAACUAAAAGAACUAUUACUGAGUCUCAGCGAAUCUUGCCAUGAUCAGCUCUUCCCAGAAGAGAAGGAAGACCAAGGAAAUGAUUUGCUCAGGAUGAGGAAUGAAGAUGGCCAUCUUGUGCUCAAACAAACAGAAGUCCUCUGAUGAUCUCUUCAGCCAAACGAGGGGUUUUGACCAAGUGAUGCUCUUGAAAGGAGUGAAAGAAGAGGAUGUGGUAAAUUGUCUUCAGAGAAAAAGCUUCUCAAAAGGUCUUAAAACAGCUUGAAGAAUGGUCUGGGAUGUUAGGACUGAGAGAUCCUCUGGCUGAGAACAAGCUACACCACAUCAGUGCUGGACAUCAACCACAAACUGUUUCCAGACACGAGAGAAGAAGAUCACGAUGGGGAGAUGAAACCAGUUUAGAUGUGAUGAUGGGAAUCAUUAUUUUCUGGAACAGUAUCUCAUGUCUUAUAUGUAUCACAUGAUCUGUAUCACAGUUGACUGGAUGGGACUGUGUGACUUUUAAGGACAUUUCAUCACUCAUCUGUGUGAACUGAUUUAUAUAUGAGGUUAAUGUAUCUUUGAUGAUAAUUAUUUUCAUUGAAUCUUAUUUGUCUUGAUGCUACUUUAUCAACUUUAUAGUCUAUGCUUCAAUAAAAUGAAAAUGGUGAA
Long non-coding RNA from Carassius gibelio (silver crucian carp), 1051 nucleotides. RefSeq lists it as uncharacterized. The transcript has 6 exons. Lineage: Eukaryota; Metazoa; Chordata; Actinopteri; Cypriniformes; Cyprinidae. The record is from RefSeq and is a predicted model, not a curated record.